UCAGAUUCGAAUUCGUAAGACAUGGUCGUACCAAUCAUUCAUAGAUUAUUAUUAGGCACUUCGUAGUCAAAGCAGGAUUUUCCAAGUCUUCGUUAGCCGGCCAUUCAUACGCCGCCGAAUCAAACACUGGGCUUCAGCUUCGAGACGCAGGGCUUUGCCACAAAUCGAGUCGUAUCCAAGCAUUACCGAGGCGUCGUCGAGACAGACCAAGUCCAAUCCCACCCAGACAGCACCCCUUGGAAUAUCAGAACCCAACAAGCCAUCGUCAUCCUUCGACCUGGCCAUCGACAACAAGGAAUUUCCCUAUGGCAAACAAGGGAGGGGCCACGCGGGCUACUAGACUCUAAAAAGAUAUCGUUGUUGUUAGGUUCAAGAUAGAUACAAAUGUUUUCCACUAGUUUAUUCAUUUAUACUAAGCUAAGUUUUGAUGAAUAAAACUUUUGAAAAAUCA
Long non-coding RNA from Drosophila miranda, 451 nucleotides. RefSeq lists it as uncharacterized. NCBI's taxonomy places the organism in Eukaryota, Metazoa, Arthropoda, Insecta, Diptera, Drosophilidae. The transcript has 2 exons. The record is from RefSeq and is a predicted model, not a curated record.